RNAcentral lists this ribosomal RNA (534 nucleotides) under uncultured bacterium. RNAcentral's name for it is "bacterial LSU rRNA". It matches the Rfam family "Bacterial large subunit ribosomal RNA", at positions 1291 to 1793 of the family's 2925-position model. The record is from RNAcentral.
AAUAUGCUGACGUAAGUAGCGAUCAUGUUGGUGAGAAUCCAACACGCCGAAAGCUCAAGGGUUCCUGGGCCAGGUUCGUCUCCCAGGGUUAGUCGGGUCCUAAGCCGAGGCCGAAAGGCGUAGGUGAUGGAAAGCAGGUCAACAUUCCUGCACCGAACAGGAUGGCUGUGAAACGAGAAGGGACGAAGGAGGGUAGUUCAGCCACCCGUUGGAUGGUGGUUCAAGCCCGUAGGCUGAGUGGGUAGGAGGCUUCGUGCCACAAACGCCCAUUCUUAGGCCGAGAGGUGAUGAGGACAGGCUCAUACCGAGCCGCAAAACUGAACGAUCCCAUGCUUCCAGGAAAAUCUUCGCGUGGAGCCACUUGGACGCCCGUACCGGAAACCGACACAGGUGAGCUAGGAGAGAAUCCUAAGGUGCUUGAGAGAACUCUGGCCAAGGAACUCGGCAAAUUGACACCGUAACUUCGGGAGAAGGUGUGCCCUUAGUAAGUCACGUCGCACAGACUAGCUGAAAAGGGUUGCAGAGAACAGGGGG